Chiloscyllium plagiosum (whitespotted bambooshark) is the source of this 429-nucleotide non-coding RNA. NCBI's taxonomy places the organism in Eukaryota, Metazoa, Chordata, Chondrichthyes, Orectolobiformes, Hemiscylliidae. The record is from RefSeq and is a predicted model, not a curated record.
CGCCUGGCCGCGCGCGCGCACACGCCUCCUUCUCCCCCCCACCUCACCUCCGGGGAUGGACGGCGGGGUUAGUGCGAGACGACGCGCCUGGGCUUUGUUCGGUGUGCUGCACUGUUCAGCCUGCAACAAGUCACGCAUUUGUUGUUAUUUCUAUCCCUUCGCAGCACAAUUUCUAUUUUGUUUGUGGCGUGAGGUGGGAAUUGCAUGGAGAAGGGGCCAGAGAAAAAUUGCUUUGAUUGUUCGUGCUUUUAAACCGUUAUCUUCUGGAGUGCUUGAAAGUUCCAGAUGGAGUGCUUUUGGGUAAGGGGCCAGUAUUCCAGAACCCGAGACCAGUAUUCUGAGGAUAUCUGUUUGAAUCACACCAUGACAGAUCUUGGAAACUGAAUUCAACAAAAGUCUGAAAUUAAAAGUCUAAUGAUGACCAUGAAA